GUCCAUGCCGUAAACGUUGGGAACUAGGUGUGGGUCUCAUUCCACGAGAUCCGUGCCGCAGCUAACGCAUUAAGUUCCCCGCCUGGGGAGUACGGCCGCAAGGCUAAAACUCAAAGGAAUUGACGGGGGCCCGCACAAGCGGCGGAGCAUGCGGAUUAAUUCGAUGCAACGCGAAGAACCUUACCAAGGCUUGACAUACACCGGAAACGUCCAGAGAUGGGCGCCCCCGCAAGGUCGGUGUACAGGUGGUGCAUGGUUGUCGU
Molecule: ribosomal RNA, 263 nt
Filed under: uncultured bacterium
Lineage: Bacteria
Description: partial 16S ribosomal RNA
Rfam family: Bacterial small subunit ribosomal RNA
Source: RNAcentral